CCGCCCGUCACAUCACGAAAGUGGGUUGUACUAGAAGUCUGCGCGCUAACCCGCAAGGGAAGCAGCGGCCCAAGGUAUGACUCAUGAUUGGGGUGAAGUCGUAACAAGGUACCC
Molecule: ribosomal RNA, 114 nt
Filed under: uncultured bacterium
Lineage: Bacteria
Description: partial 16S ribosomal RNA
Rfam family: Bacterial small subunit ribosomal RNA
Source: RNAcentral